UUCUUUUAGAUUACAUAAUAAAAAUAAUAAAGAUAAAUUAUAUAAAAGUAAGAUCCAAGUGCGGACAUAAAUCAGAUAUUGAGCAUAGGACGUUCUGAAUAGAACAUCCGUUUUAAUUCCAAUAAUGGAUAUCCUAUGAAUGUCUAUUUUAUGUCCAUGGACAUGUGGACCUGAAUUGGACUUAACAUGGACGUACUUGGAACAUCCAGUGCUAUUUGGGUGAGGACUUAUGUGGAAAAGCGACACUUCUUUCUUUUUUCCAAAGAACAUGAUAAGUACAACACUAAUUUUAAGAAUUAUUCACUUCAUCAUUUUAUUAAUUGUUUACUUUAAUUGAUUAUUAUAUAUGAUAUAUACAGAUGGUUGGCAUGGGUUCAAGCAUGCAGAAGAUUUGAUUUACUACCAAAAGGUUCAGAGUAUGCAAACCGCAAUUGUCGCUUGUGCCAUAUACAUUUUGAUGAAAAAGAUUAUAAAAUCAAAGAACGAGCUCGCCUUCAUCCAGAUACCGUGCCAACAAGAUUUUUGGAAUUGACAGAUAAUAAGUAAGCUUUUAUUUAUAUUAAUUUUAAUUGCUUUUUAUUAUAAAUAAUUUAGUUUUGAUAACUAAAAAUAUUUUUGUACAUAAAGAAAUAUAAAAAUAAUUGAAAAAUUAUUUCACAGCAGUGCUACUUCUUUUUUAGAUCGACGAUGGAAAACCAAGAAAAUUAUAAUAUAAGCACAAUAAUAGAUACGAAUCAUUGCAACGCCUUAAGCAAUGAACAACAUAUUUCAACGGAUAAUGUACAAGAAGAAACAACUAGGAGUGUCAAAUAAAGAAAAAUAUAUAAUUUUUUGAUACAAUAAUGAUAAUCUAUUUCACUAUUACAAUCCACAUUAUCUUAUGGGAUAACAUUUUUAUAUUAUAAUAAAUUAAAAGUUUAUUCUGAAUUUUAUAAUUAUGCAAAGAUAUUUCUUUUAAUUUUCAAGCUGAACAAAGUUUUUUAAUAUCUUCAUUGUAGAUAUAAUCAUCUAGACUAUUUUAUACAAUUUUAGGGUAAUUUGAAAAAAAAUAAAAAAAUUCAUUAUUUU
Monomorium pharaonis (pharaoh ant) is the source of this 1068-nucleotide long non-coding RNA. RefSeq lists it as uncharacterized. The transcript is spliced from 2 exons. Lineage: Eukaryota; Metazoa; Arthropoda; Insecta; Hymenoptera; Formicidae. The record is from RefSeq and is a predicted model, not a curated record.